This 520-nucleotide unclassified non-coding RNA is filed under the name uncultured Glomus. RNAcentral's name for it is "SSU rRNA". It matches the Rfam family "Eukaryotic small subunit ribosomal RNA", at positions 569 to 1092 of the family's 1831-position model. Lineage: Eukaryota; Fungi; Glomeromycota; Glomeromycetes; Glomerales; Glomeraceae. The record is from RNAcentral.
AGCAGCCGAGGUAAUUCCAGCUCCAAUAGCGUAUAUUAAAGUUGUUGCAGUUAAAAAGCUCGUAGUUGAAUUUCGGGAUCAAUGCGUCGGUCGUGCCUUCGGUACGUACUAGCGUCAUUGAUUCCUCCCUUCUGAAGAACCGUGAUGUCAUUAAUUUGGUGUUACGGGAAAUCAGGACUGUUACCUUGAAAAAUUAGAGUGUUUAAAGCAGGCUAACGCUUGAAUACAUUAGCAUGGAAUAAUGAAAUAGGACGUUCGAACCUAUUUUGUUGGUUUCUAGGAUCGACGUAAUGAUUAAUAGGGAUAGUUGGGGGCAUUAGUAUUCAAUUGUCAGAGGUGAAAUUCUUGGAUUUAUUGAAGACUAACUACUGCGAAAGCAUUUGCCAAGGAUGUUUUCAUUAAUCAAGAACGAAAGUUAGGGGAUCGAAGACGAUCAGAUACCGUCGUAGUCUUAACCAUAAACUAUGCCGACUAGGGAUCGGAUGAUGUUAAUUUAUAAUGACUNAUUCGGCGCCUUACG